AGGUCCUGUUGGAGAAGCAGGGCACGUGCAACUCAGUUCUAGUUCUAGCUCUAUUAUAGCUGCUCUAGUUUAUCUGAUUUUGCACGUGCUCCCCUUCUCCAACACGAUU
This 109-nucleotide microRNA precursor is filed under the name Glycine max (soybean). RNAcentral's name for it is "miR164k stem-loop (gma-MIR164k)". Its record names the gene gma-MIR164k. It matches the Rfam family "MIR164 microRNA precursor family". Lineage: Eukaryota; Viridiplantae; Streptophyta; Magnoliopsida; Fabales; Fabaceae. The record is from miRBase by way of RNAcentral.